This 632-nucleotide ribosomal RNA is filed under the name uncultured euryarchaeote. Its description in RNAcentral is "bacterial SSU rRNA". It matches the Rfam family "Archaeal small subunit ribosomal RNA", at positions 33 to 650 of the family's 1478-position model. Lineage: Archaea; Methanobacteriati; Methanobacteriota. The record is from RNAcentral.
UCGGAGUCCGAUUAAGCCAUGCAAGUCUACGCUACCCCUUGGUAGUGUGGCGAACGGCUGAGUAACACGUGGUCAACCUACCCUAAGGAAGUGGAUAACCUCUGGGAAACUGAGGGUAAUCCGCUAUAGGUGAGGGAUGCUGGAAUGCUUCCUCGCUUAAAGGGCUGGUGAAUUGGAGCCAGACCGCCUUAGGAUGGGGCCGCGGGGGAUUAGGUUGUUGGCGGGGUAACGGCCCACCAAGCCUAUAAUCCCUAGGGGCCAUGUAAGUGGGAGCCCCCAGAAGGACACUUAGACAAGGGUCCUAGUCCUACGGGAUGCAGCAGGCGCGAAACCUCCGUAAUGCGCGAAAGCGUGACGGGGGGACUCCGAGUGGUCUCCAUCUGGAGAUCUUUUGUGGAGUCUAACUCGCUCCACGAAUAAGGGGUGGGUAAGACCGGUGCCAGCCGCCGCGGUAAUACCGGCACCACUAGUGGUACCCGCGAAUAUUGGGUCUAAAGCGCCCGUAGCCGGCUUAGUAAGUCACUGGCGAAAUCCUCGGGCUUAACCUGAGGGCGUGCCAGUGAUACUGCUGAGCUAGGGAGUGGGGGAGGCCAGAGGUACUUCCGGGGUAGGGGUAAAAUCCGUUAAUCCUG